CAGCAGCCACGGUAAUACAGAGGGUGCGAGCGUUAAUCGGAAUUACUGGGCGUAAAGCGUGCGCAGGCGGUUAUAUAAGACAGAUGUGAAAUCCCCGGGCUCAACCUGGGAACUGCAUUUGUGACUGUAUAGCUAGAGUACGGCAGAGGGGGAUGGAAUUCCGCGUGUAGCAGUGAAAUGCGUAGAUAUGCGGAGGAACACCGAUGGCGAAGGCAAUCCCCUGGGCCUGUACUGACGCUCAUGCACGAAAGCGUGGGGAGCAAACAGGAUUAGAUACCCCGGUAGUCCCUGUCUCUUAUAC
RNAcentral lists this ribosomal RNA (301 nucleotides) under uncultured bacterium. RNAcentral's name for it is "partial 16S ribosomal RNA". It matches the Rfam family "Bacterial small subunit ribosomal RNA", at positions 509 to 807 of the family's 1533-position model. The record is from RNAcentral.